Molecule: small nuclear RNA, 117 nt
Organism: Tupaia belangeri (northern tree shrew)
Lineage: Eukaryota; Metazoa; Chordata; Mammalia; Scandentia; Tupaiidae
Gene: U5
Rfam family: U5 spliceosomal RNA
About the family: U5 RNA is a component of both types of known spliceosome. The precise function of this molecule is unknown, though it is known that the 5' loop is required for splice site selection and p220 binding, and that both the 3' stem-loop and the Sm site are important for Sm protein binding and cap methylation.
Source: Ensembl
AUACUCUGGUUUCUCUUCAGAUCGCAUAUAUCUUUUGCCUUUUACUAAAGAUUUCCAUGGAGAGGAACAAUUCUGAAUCUUUACCCAAUUUUUUGAGGCCCUGCUCUUGCUGGGGCU